GAGGAGUUAGUUAAAAUAACACCCCCUUGUCAAGGGGGAAUUAUAGGUUAAACCCCUUUACCCCUCUCA
Molecule: transfer RNA, 69 nt
Filed under: Crinia signifera
Lineage: Eukaryota; Metazoa; Chordata; Amphibia; Anura; Myobatrachidae
Description: tRNA-Asp
Rfam family: tRNA
About the family: Transfer RNA (tRNA) molecules are approximately 80 nucleotides in length.
Source: RNAcentral